AAUUCAUAUUACAAAUAUAAUCAUGGCUUUGAAUUAACCUCUAGCCAACAUAAAUUUAAUUUCACAUUAUUAAAAACAGAAAUAAAAAAGAAGUUUGGAAAAAUUAAACCGAAAGAGGAUCUGCUGCUUUCUGCCCGUUUCUCCUUCCCUGCUCUCUGUCCGUUCUUGUUGACCUGCCCGUACUCUAUUCUUUUCUUUUCCCGUUCUACUUUCCCACGCUGCAAGGCAGCCUUCAGUCCCCCCACGUCUCCUCUGUCUCCCUCUUCUGUUAUUUUCCAUUUUCUGUCUGUCUUCACGCUGCCCAAAAGGGCAGCUCCCUCCCUCUCUCACGCUGCUGUCUCUCCUCUCUCUUCUAUUUUUUUAUUUCCCUUUUUUUUUUCUGGCAGCAAGGCUGCCUUCUCUUUUCCACCCUCCGCAAGUCCUCACUUCCCUCUUCUUUAUUUUCUGUCUUUCUUUUUCUUUCCGCGUGUCCUGCUCUUCUUUCUUUUAUUAUUUUCUUUCCGUUUCUGCUGGUUUCUCUUUCUCUCCCGCCAGCAGCCAAGUGCUGCUUUUCCUAUUAUUUUAUGCGCCCCCAGCUGCCAAAGCAGCAUCUGCCUUCCACCUCCUCACGUUUCCACCUUGGAUUCCUUCCUUUCCAGCUGCAAAGCAGCUUCCUGUUGUUUUCAGAAGUGAAGAAUAUGGGAGUCAACGAGGUAAAAAAAAUAUAAAUCAUGAUGCUCUCUUGCUCCCUCUUUGACCGACUCUCCCCAUUUCUUUUGUUUAUGCCGUGACAUAAUUCUACCAAUAAUCCAUGACAGAAUGAGAACGACUAAAGCAAUUUCGACGAAUUUAUUAUUUAAAACUCAUUUGUGCUAUUUUUAUUUUCUUUGCAUAACAAAUCCUAUAAACACAAAAAUAACGUAAAUAGCUCAAAAAUGUAAGGAACUAACUAAGAAAAGACGAGUGAAUUCGAAGUAAAAAUAUAUAUAAAUAUGAUCCGAUCAAAUACCCCCACACUUAACUUUUGCUAGUCCUCGAGCAAAACCAAGAAAACUAGAAAAAGUACUAACAUGAAAAACAUUAGUUUCCCCCUAUGUGACCCUCAUAGAAUUUCAUUCAAGAAAACAAAUCAUCAAGAACCAUAGCUAGCAUCAAGGAACUAAUCCAAGUUCAUCUUCCUUAUUCAAAUAUUAGCAGUAAUCUUUGAAUCAUCCUUGAAGUGUAGUGUGUGAGAUAGCCAUACUAAUGCAAUUUCAAGUUUUUAUUUUUAAAAUCAUCAUAUGCAAACUAGUAACCUUCUCACGGGAUAUACACUCAAUCACAUAUGUGUUUAGUUUUAGUGUGUUUCGCUCAAAGAAACAAAUGUGAAAUUUCUACCAUAAGCUUGCAUAAAGAUCACUUCUCCACAGUCAUAAUUGCAAAACUUAAAUCAAGAGGACUUUUAUUGGAUGUAAUGAGGCUUAGGGAUAGGGUUAUUGAAACGAAAGAAUAGGAAAACACAAGUUCCAAGCUACAUUUCAAGCAAUUCUUUUCUUUAGAUUUAUAAGAACUCAAGCUCUCCAGCAAUUCUUCUAGCACCUCCAACCAUACUCUUAAACUGAACUUUAAAAACUUUUUAUUUUCUUUUUAUACAAUCUUUCUUUUUUUUUUUUUUUUUUUUUUUAAAUCACAAACAUGAAAUACCCCCACACUUAUUCUUUUGCCAAACAUCUUCACAGUACUUCACAAACGUUUCUCAUAAGACAAUUUCGCAUUGCUCACUUGGAAAGGGUAAGGAAAAAUGUUUCAGGCAUAAGGGUAGACAUAUCUGGUGAUAAGAAAUAAAAGGCUCAACAUACACGGCUCAAAUUGGCAAUCUAAUGAUAUCAUUUUUCUUUGGGAAACAUAGUUAUUUGGGCCAUAGUGGUAAACCUAAUGCCUCUAUCAUUUCCAAGUUCAUGCAAUCAAUGACAAACAUUUCGAAAGAUCGUUACGCAAGUUCUAGAGAUGUAUCUCACAUAAGUUCAUCACACAUGAAAGAAUAGGAGUGUAUGAAAAAUGCACACACUUUCAAUAGGCUCAAAAACUCACAUAGGAUGUAUAUGGUCACUAAAUUCACAUAUGAAGCUUUAAGUCAUACUUUAGUUUCACAUUAACAAGGCUAUGUGCAUUUGGUUUUUCAAAGAUGGUCAAACAUGUACAAAACUAACAAGAGAAUUAGGAAUUUCACCAAACACAUGUUAACUAAGUUCUUGAUGAUCAUGGUUCAAAUUUUUGAUCCAAUUAUAUCAUUGGGUCGGGAAACUAACAAAAAUCUGAUUCAGAACAAUAAGGGAAACAAGACAAUAUUUUUGGAUUUUUAAAUUUUUCGAUUUUUAUUUUUUUUUUUUUUUAUUUUUUUAUUUUUUUUUAAGAAAACAAAAACUAACAACACAGAAACAAAUGAAAUUCUAGAGAUUUCUACCCCCACACUUAAACUUGACAUUGUCCCCAAUGUCAGAAAACACUAUAACGCAAAUAAAAAUAAAAUAAAUAAAUAAAUAAUAAGAAACAAAAUAAAACAAUGGGACUGAAAACUUCCCUAAUUUGCAGUAAAAUCAAGCGAUGACCCCCAAGCUAAAAUUCUGCAAUCAACUUCAAGGGUGGAAAUAACCAAAAGUUCCUGCAAAGAAAAGAAAUAAUUCAGUUAAGUACGCAAGAAAAUUAAUUAAAAAAAAAUUGCAAACGAAAAAUUGAAAAUUACGAUAAAAGAUAAUGAAUAAAACUAAUAAGUAAUCAUUGGUCGUGCUUGUUGACUUUCCACAGCUUUCCUCUUGAACAGGGUGACACUUAGCUUUUUACUAUUUGAUGAUAUUGUACGGCGGAGCUUUGCUCUUUGGGAAUGUUGCAGUUCCUUAUUUGUUCUCCAAGCAAAUGUGGCAGCUUCUCUAGUUCCUCAGUUCGGACUCCUUCCGCUGGGAUGAUUGUGCAAGCUGCAUUCUUCUCUGCUUGUUUCUUCUGCACAACGGGCAGGCACGAGGGAAAGGUGUUGGUCCUUAUUUCUUUCUUCAAUCUUUCCAAGUGCCCACCUCUUGCUUUCUUUCUCCUUGUCCCUAGCUGAAUUGUCUCCACAUGCUUCGAGGUAUCAUUUUCACUUCCCUUACUGUCCCCCAGGCAGAUGUGGUAGACGAAGAGAAAGCAUAAAAUGAUGAAGAUGAGUACUCGAGAGCAAGGCUAGGUAAGCAAUCAGGAAAGGGUUCCAGGCAGUUGGCUCCAGAUUGGAAGAUUGAUACCAAAUGCUGGCUGAUUGCUCUCUUUCUCCUUGUCGGAAAACAAAGACAAGGAGAAGGACAUGGAGAAAGCAUGAUAUGAGAUACUCUUGCUUUCAACCUUUAUGAUAUGAAAUACUUUUGCUUUGAAUGGGUUGUUCGCAGGAGUAUCCCAAGGAAUGAGGAACACAGAGUGACUCGAGAGAAUUCUUUGGGAAUGCAUUUUCGGAGAUGAAGAGGUGUUGAGAGGGUGUGCUGAGAGAGUGUGCUUUUGCUGUGGAAGGCGAAGGUAGAAAACUUAUAGGACUUGUCUUCACAACCGGAACUGUUCUCUCACUCACUUAGUGUCGGCAGCCGGUGGAUGGGUGAAGAAUACAAAUUACGCGCUUUCUGACAAAGCUGCCCGUAAUUUCCGCAAAGCUGCCAGUUGCAUGUGACAAGUGCUGACUAGGCUGAGAGAGACAGAUGGUUGGAAUCGGCACUUCGACACAGACUGCCCGUGAUUUUCGCAGAGCUGAGUUUGCGUGUGACGGGUGACAACACGUCUGGACGAAUUGAUCUUGCGAAAUCCGGGGUUCGGCUCGUGGUUUCUGAGCAAGCCCAACUUUUAAGAAAUGAAACGCCUCUUUUGAGAAAAGAAUCCGGCUUUUGAGAACGGAAACUCCUCUUUUGAGAAAAGAAUCCGGCUUUUGAGAAAGGAGCCCCGACUCUUCGAUUUGCGAGAGGACGCUUCUCUGAGGAGCGCCUCUUUGAUUUCUUCUUUUUAUAGAGGCGUUAAUUUUGUUUCCACAACACACUUGAGUACCCUCCUGUAAACACUCCCUUCUUGCACUUGUUUAAUCUUGAUCAUUCCGACUCUCUUCUUUCUUUACCACCUCUGAAAAAUGUCUGGCCCUUCUGAUCGUCGUUUUGACUUGAACAUUGGUGAAGAGGCAGCUCCGCCUUCACCAGACAACAUAUGGCGGCCAUCCUUCAUAUCCCCUACCGGUCCCCUUACCGUGGGGGAUUCGGUGAUAAAAAAUGAUAUGACAGCUGCGGUGGUGGCCCGAAACCUUGUCACUCCCAGAGAUAACAGACUGCUCGCAAGGCGGUCUGAUGAAUUGGCGGUCAAGGAGUCUCUGGCUCUUAGUGUGCAGUGUGCGGGUUCCGUAUCCAACAUGGCCCAACGCCUAUAUGCCCGAACCCGUCACGUUGAAUCCUUGGUGGCUGAAAUACAGAGUCUCAAGCAAGAGAUUAAAGGGCUCAAGCAUGAGAAUAAGGAAUUGCACAAGCUCGCACACAGCUAUGCCACCAGCAUGAAGAGGAAGAUUGACCAGAUGCAGGACACCGAUGGUCAAAUUUUACUUGAUCAUCGGAGGUUUGUGGGUUUGUUCCAACAACAUCUGCCUUCGUCUUCUGGAGCGGCACCGCGUAGUGAAGCUCCAACUGAUCAACCUCUGCCGCCUCCUCCUUCCGUGGCCCCGCCGACUGCUGAAGCCCCGCCUACUACUGAAGCACCACCCGACCAAUGAAUACUAUUAGUUUACAUCAUUGUAAAAUAUUUGUACUUUUUUUUUUAUUUUUUUUUAUUUUUAUUUUUAUUUUUAUUUUUAUUUUUAUUUUUAUAUAUAUAUUUUUAUAUGUAAAUUAAAGUAGAAAGACUUUGGUUAACCUUUCCCCACACUUAAACUAAAUAACACAAACUCACAGAAAUCAAACAAAUAACACAACUAACAAAACAAGACAAAAUGAAAGCAUUAAAGAUAAGGGUGUAAAAAUGCAAAUCUGAUUGGGUUAGCGAUUCCAAAGUCUCCCUUCGUUGAAUGCUUGGGUUGCCUCCCAAGAAGCGCUUGAUUUAACGUCUUUAGCCGGACGCAUCUUUCCUUUAAAUUUCCCUCGGCUCCAUUUGAACCUAAAAUCAAAGAAAGAAAAAUAAAUCAAAUAUCAAAAGUAAAAUACACAAACACCAAUAUAAACAUAACAAAAACAAAAAUAAAAGGAUUAGCAAAGUUACUAAUCCCCGGCAACGGCGCCAAAAUUUGAUGCGUAAAAUAAGUUAACACACAAAUUAAACCCUCUUUUUUGACAAUUGUAGUAUAGAUGUAAGUAGGGUAUCGUUCUAGGCCGGGGAUUAGGAGGGAUUGCUAAUCUAUUCUAAAUUAAUUUAAAAAUAUUAAAUAAGACUCAAGGACAUAAAAUUAGGCUAAAAACUCUAAUAACUCGAAACACACUUAAAAUGACUCAAAAUAAUGAAAACAAUUAAAUUAAACACUAGGAACUGAAAUGGACGGAAAUUAAAUUAAAAGACUAACAAUAAAGAAAACUAACUAAAUAAUAUAAUUUAAUAAUGGAUGGGUGUUUGGUUUUGAUGAAAAGUAAAUUAAACUUAAUUAAAUUACAGAAUUGAUAAAAACAUAAAAUUAAGGUAAAAUGAUAAAUGACGGACUAGCUAGAGGGUUUCUUCUCCACACAUGACACAUAUGCAACCUAAAUUGAUUUUCAGUUGUUCUUUCAAUAAAUUGUGAAUCUCAAAAACUCCAGAUUAACCGUGAAACAGCACUUUUUUAAUCUUCAAGUUUUCCUUAAGUUAUUGAAUUGGACGGGAAAACGCAUACAACAAUUCAAAACAUUCUUCAAAAGUCCCCUACGUGAAAAGCACAAUAGAGAUACAAUCAAUCAAAGAUCAUUAAACUUUGUGAAAGCUAUAAGCAUUGACGAGGCAUUCGUAACUAUGAAAAGCAUGAUACUCUUGCCAAGAAUUUACUUAACGUGAUUGUGACUAGCAACCUUUACUACUUGUGAAAAUAAGUUCAUAACGAUUAGGUGAAAUUCACUUAUAUUCUAGCAUCAAAUUCAUGCAUGUAAAUUAAGCGUGCACUCUCAACCAACAUACACAAAUCAGUUUUUAUACGAACGGAUAAGUAAAUUGAAUUCACAACUUAUGAAAUCACAACUGAAGGUAAUCAAUUCAUAUUACAAAUAUAAUCAUGGCUUUGAAUUAACCUCUAGCCAACAUAAAUUUAAUUUCACAUUAUUAAAAAACAGAAAUAAAAAAAGAAGUUUGGAAAAAUUAAACCGAAAGAGGAUCUGCUGCUUUCUGCCCGUUUCUCCUUCCCUGCUCUCUGUCCGUUCUUGUUGACCUGCCCGUACUCUAUUCUUUUCUUUUCCCGUUCUACUUUCCCACGCUGCAAGGCAGCCUUCAGUCCCCCCACGUCUCCUCUGUCUCCCUCUUCUGUUAUUUUCCAUUUUCUGUCUGUCUUCACGCUGCCCAAAAGGGCAGCUCCCUCCCUCUCUCACGCUGCUGUCUCUCCUCUCUCUUCUAUUUUUUUAUUUCCCUUUUUUUUUUCUGGCAGCAAGGCUGCCUUCUCUUUUCCACCCUCCGCAAGUCCUCACUUCCCUCUUCUUUAUUUUCUGUCUUUCUUUUUCUUUCCGCGUGUCCUGCUCUUCUUUCUUUUAUUAUUUCUUUCCGUUUCUGCUGGU
RNAcentral lists this long non-coding RNA (6665 nucleotides) under Malus domestica (apple). RNAcentral's name for it is "long non-coding RNA (MDOM_LNC003300)". The record is from RNAcentral. Lineage: Eukaryota; Viridiplantae; Streptophyta; Magnoliopsida; Rosales; Rosaceae.